RNAcentral lists this ribosomal RNA (501 nucleotides) under uncultured bacterium. RNAcentral's name for it is "bacterial SSU rRNA". It matches the Rfam family "Bacterial small subunit ribosomal RNA", at positions 8 to 507 of the family's 1533-position model. The record is from RNAcentral.
AGAGUUUGAUCAUGGCUCAGAUUGAACGCUGGCGGAAUGCUUUACACAUGCAAGUCGAACGGCAGCACGGGGCAACCUGGUGGCGAGUGGCGAACGGGUGAGUAAUACAUCGGAACGUGCCCAAUCGUGGGGGAUAACGUAGCGAAAGUUACGCUAAUACCGCAUACGAUCUACGGAUGAAAGCGGGGGAUCGCAAGACCUCGCGCGAGUGGAGCGGCCGAUGUCAGAUUAGGUAGUUGGUGGGUAAAGGCUCACCAAGCCAACGAUCUGUAGCUGGUCUGAGAGGACGACCAGCCACACUGGAACUGAGACACGGUCCAGACUCCUACGGGAGGCAGCAGUGGGGAAUUUUGGACAAUGGGCGCAAGCCUGAUCCAGCCAUUCCGCGUGCAGGAUGAAGGCCUUCGGGUUGUAAACUGCUUUUGUACGGAACGAAACGGCGAGCUCUAAUACAGUUUGCUAAUGACGGUACCGUAAGAAUAAGCACCGGCUAACUACGUG